GACGAACGCUGGCGGCGUGCUUAACACAUGCAAGUCGAACGGAAAGGCCCUGCUUUUGUGGGGUGCUCGAGUGGCGAACGGGUGAGUAACACGUGAGUAACCUGCCCAUGACUUUGGGAUAACUUCAGGAAACUGGGGAUAAUACCGGAUAGGAGCUCCUGCUGCAUGGGGGGGGUUGGAAAGUUUCGGCGGUUGGGGAUGGACUCGCGGCUUAUCAGCUUGUUGGGUGGGUAGAGGCUUACCAAGGCUUUGACGGGUAGCCGGCAUGAGAGGGUAGACGGGCACAUGGGGACUGAGAGACGGACCAGACUCCUAUGGGAGGCAGCAGUGGGGAAUAUUGCACAAUGGGCGGAAGCCUGAUGCAGCAACGCCGCGUGCGGGAUGACGGCCUUCGUGUUGUAAACCGCUUUCGCCUGUGACGAAGCGUGAGUGACGGUAAUGGGUAAAGAAGCACCGGCUAACUACGUG
RNAcentral lists this ribosomal RNA (468 nucleotides) under uncultured bacterium. RNAcentral's name for it is "partial 16S ribosomal RNA". It matches the Rfam family "Bacterial small subunit ribosomal RNA", at positions 28 to 507 of the family's 1533-position model. The record is from RNAcentral.